AGGGUACCUACGUCGCGCUAAGUGUUUUUUUUUUUUUCCUUUUUCUUUUCUUUUGGGGUUCUUGCAUUGCCUUUUUCUUUUGUGGUAUCCACUUGUGUAAAUGUUUUAAACUGACAAUCGAAUUAGUUCAUUGUAUUCAUAUAGGAUCAAGGAGUGUAGCUGUAAAAAAUCAUCAAAAUCGGAGUUAAAACUACCGUUAAAUCGUGAUUUUUCGUUUAUAACCGUCGAAAAGUUUUGUCCCGUUACUUGAUCUUUGAAUGUUUGUUUUUUGCGAUUUUUGGCGUACACAAUCUCGAAGCAUAUAAAAACAAGUUUGACAGUUGGAUCGUUGAAACUAGUUUCGUACAAUGCGUUUCCCAUCAAAACGAUACAUUCACUAACACUUAGAGUUUAUUUAUACUUUCAUUAAUUGUAACAGAAGAUUUGUGGUAUCCACUUGUGUAAAUAUUUUAAAUUGACGAUCGAAUCAAUUCCUUGUAUUCAUAUAGGAUCCAGGAGUGUAGCUGUAAAAAAUCAUCAAAAUCGGAGUUAAAAUAACCAUUAAAUCAUGAUUUUUCGUUUAUAACCGUCGAAAUUUUUUGUCCCGUUACUUGAUCUCUGAAGGUUUAUUUUUUGCGAUUUUUGGCGUAUGCGAUCUCAACACAUAUACAAACAGUUUGACGGUUGGAUCGUUGAAACUAGUUUCGUACAAUGCGUAUCCCAUUAAAACAAUAGACUCACUAACACUUGAGUUAAUUUAUACUUUCAUUAAGUAUAACAUAAGAUUUUGUGGUAUCCACUUGUGUAAAUGUUUUAAAUUGACGAUCGAAUUAGUUCAUUGUAUUCAUAUAGGGUCAAGGAGUGUAGCCGUAAAAAAUCAUCAAAAUCGGAGUUAAAACUACCGUUAAAUCGUGAUUUUUCAUUUAUAACCGUCGAAAAGUUUUGUCCCGUUACUUGAUCUUUGAAUGUUUGUUUUUUGCGAUUUUUGGCGUACACAAUCUCGAAGCAUAUAAAAACAAGUUUGACAGUUGGAUCGUUGAACUAGUUUCGUACAAUGCGUUUCCCAUCAAAACGAUACAUUCACUAACACUUAGAGUUUAUUUAUACUUUCAUUAAUUGUAACAGAAGAUUUGUGGUAUCCACUUGUGUAAAUAUUUUAAAUUGACGAUCGAAUCAAUUCCUUGUAUUCAUAUAGGAUCCAGGAGUGUAGCUGUAAAAAAUCAUCAAAAUCGGAGUUAAAAUAACCAUUAAAUCAUGAUUUUUCGUUUAUAACCGUCGAAAUUUUUUGUCCCGUUACUUGAUCUCUGAAGGUUUGUUUUUUGCGAUUUUAGGCGUAUGCGAUCUCAACACAUAUACAAACAGUUUGACGGUUGGAUCGUUGAAACUAGUUUCGUACAAUGCGUAUCCCAUUAAAACAAUAGACUCACUAACACUUGAGUUCAUUUAUACUUUCAUUAAGUAUAACAUAAGAUUUUGUGGUAUCCACUUGUGUAAAUGUUUUAAAUUGACGAUCGAAUUAGUUCAUUGUAUUCAUAUAGGGUCAAGGAGUGUAGCCGUAAAAAAUCAUCAAAAUCGGAGUUAAAACUACCGUUAAAUCGUGAUUUUUCGUUUAUAACCGUCGAAAAGUUUUGUCCCGUUACUUGAUCUUUGAAUGUUUGUUUUUUGCGAUUUUUGGCGUACACAAUCUCGAAGCAUAUAAAAACAAGUUUGACGGUUGGAUCGUUGAAACUAGUUUCGUACAAUGCGUUUCCCAUCAAAACGAUACAUUCACUAACACUUAGAGUUUAUUUAUACUUUCAUUAAUUGUAACAGAAGAUUUGUGGUAUCCACUUGUGUAAAUAUUUUAAAUUGACGAUCGAAUCAAUUCCUUGUAUUCAUAUAGGAUCCAGGAGUGUAGCUGUAAAAAAUCAUCAAAAUCGGAGUUAAAAUAACCGUUAAAUCAUGAUUUUUCGUUUAUAACCGUCGAAAUUUUUUGUCCCGUUACUUGAUCUUUGAAGGUUUGUUUUUUGCGAUUUUUGGCGUAUGCGAUCUCAACACAUAUACAAACAAGUUUGACGGUUGGAUCGUUGAAACUAGUUUCGUACAAUGCGUAUCCCAUUUUUGGCGUAUGCGAUCUCAACACAUAUACAAACAAGUUUGACGGUUGGAUCAUUGAAAUUAGUUUCGUACAAUGCGUAUCCCAUCGAUUUCAAUGGAUCAUUUAAAUUACAUUUUCAGUAUUUUUUUUUUAAAAUGCCUUCCCUCUCACUCAUCGCUUCUUUACAAUAUGAGUUUCUUUAUUUGUGGAUGGUCCAUCUUAACUUUUACUAGAGUAGUAUUUUAGCCGAGUAUAUAUUUUGCAUAGUUUAUUAACCCUCCAAAUCAGGAACAUUAAGCAGGAAAUUACAUUCAUUUUUCAUGAAAAGAAAAGGAACAUUAAGCAGGAAAUUACAAGAGGGAGCAUUCACAAAGGCUGCUUAGGAGAAGUCUCAAUAGUCGGCGGAACCUCAGCAGUCGGCGGAGCCCCAGAAGAAGGAGGCAGCGGAGGUUGAUCAUUUGGAGCUUCAGUACGCUGUGCAGCUCCAGAAGACGAAGGCAAAUGCUGUUGGAACAAACCCACAAACCUCCGAUGAUCAAGUAAAAUCUGACCAUCAGAUUCCUGCAUCUGAUCAAUUUUUCUCUUCAUAUUUGUGGCAUAGUUGUGUGCGAGCUUGUGCAACUGUUUAUUCUCAUGCUUGAGCCCUCUAAUCUCCUGUUUCAGACUCAUCACUUCAGCCG
This 2736-nucleotide long non-coding RNA is filed under the name Malus domestica (apple). RNAcentral's name for it is "long non-coding RNA (MDOM_LNC015722)". The record is from RNAcentral. Lineage: Eukaryota; Viridiplantae; Streptophyta; Magnoliopsida; Rosales; Rosaceae.